GCAGUCGACGGUAGCACAGAGAGCUUGCUCUCGGGUGACGAGUGGCGGACGGGUGAGUAAUGUCUGGGAAACUGCCUGAUGGAGGGGGAUAACUACUGGAAACGGUAGCUAAUACCGCAUAACGUCGCAAGACCAAAGAGGGGGACCUUCGGGCCUCUUGCCAUCAGAUGUGCCCAGAUGGGAUUAGCUAGUAGGUGGGGUAACGGCUCACCUAGGCGACGAUCCCUAGCUGGUCUGAGAGGAUGACCAGCCACACUGGAACUGAGACACGGUCCAGACUCCUACGGGAGGCAGCAGUGGGGAAUAUUGCACAAUGGGCGCAAGCCUGAUGCAGCCAUGCCGCGUGUAUGAAGAAGGCCUUCGGGUUGUAAAGUACUUUCAGCGGGGAGGAAGGUGUUGUGGUUAAUAACCGCAGCAAUUGACGUUACCCGCAGAAGAAGCACCGGCUAACUCCGUGCCAGCAGCCGCGGUAAUACGGAGGGUGCAAGCGUUAAUCGGAAAUUACUGGGCGUAAAGCGCACGCAGGCGGUCUGUCAAGUCGGAUGUGAAAUCCCCGGGCUCAACCUGGGAACUGCAUUCG
RNAcentral lists this ribosomal RNA (580 nucleotides) under Enterobacter sp. RNAcentral's name for it is "bacterial SSU rRNA". It matches the Rfam family "Bacterial small subunit ribosomal RNA", at positions 57 to 629 of the family's 1533-position model. The record is from RNAcentral. Lineage: Bacteria; Pseudomonadati; Pseudomonadota; Gammaproteobacteria; Enterobacterales; Enterobacteriaceae.